RNAcentral lists this ribosomal RNA (372 nucleotides) under uncultured organism. RNAcentral's name for it is "bacterial SSU rRNA". It matches the Rfam family "Bacterial small subunit ribosomal RNA", at positions 526 to 896 of the family's 1533-position model. The record is from RNAcentral.
GGGGGGGGGCAAGCGUUGUUCGGAAUUACUGGGCGUAAAGGGCUCGUAGGCGGCCAACUAAGUCAGACGUGAAAUCCCUAGGCUCAACCUAGGAACUGCGUCUGAUACUGGAUGGCUUGAAUCCGGGAGAGGGAUGCAGAAUUCCAGGUGUAGCGGUGAAAUGCGUAGAUAUCUGGAGGAAUACCGGUGGCGAAGGCGGCAUCCUGGACCGGCAUUGACGCUGAGGAGCGAAAGCUAGGGGAGCAAACGGGAUUAGAUACCCCGGUAGUCCUAGCCCUAAACGAUGAAUGCUUGGUGUAACGGGUAUCGAUCCCUGUUGUGCCGAAGCUAACGCAUUAAGCAUUCCGCCUGGGGAGUACGGUCGCAAGGCUG